This 1446-nucleotide ribosomal RNA is filed under the name uncultured bacterium. Its description in RNAcentral is "bacterial SSU rRNA". It matches the Rfam family "Bacterial small subunit ribosomal RNA". The record is from RNAcentral.
AAUGAACGUUGGCGGCGUGGAUUAGGCAUGCAAGUCGUGCGAGAAUCUCCCUUCGGGGAGAGGACAGCGGCGAAAGGGAGAGUAACGCGUGGUUACAUACCCUCGGGACCGGGAUAGUAGCGGGAAACUGCUAGUAAUACCGGAUAAUAUCUUUGGAUCAAAGGUGUGAUUCCGCCCGAGGAUUGGACCGCGUUCUAUUAGCUUGUUGGCGGGGUAAUGGCCCACCAAGGCGACGAUGGAUACCGGGUGUGAGAGCAUGGCCCGGCUCACUGGGACUGAGACACUGCCCAGACACCUACGGGUGGCUGCAGUCGAGAAUCUUCGGCAAUGGGGGAAACCCUGACCGAGCGACGCCGCGUGCGGGAUGAAGGCCUUCGGGUUGUAAACCGCUGUCAGUUGGGAGGAAGUGCUAGGGGGUUAUCCCCUUAGUUUGACCGAUCUUCAGAGGAAGGACGGGCUAAGUUCGUGCCAGCAGCCGCGGUAAGACGAACCGUCCAAACGUUAUUCGGUAUCACUGGGCUUAAAGCGUGCGUAGGCGGCCUGGUAGGUGAGAUGUGAAAGCCCACGGCUCAACCGUGGAAUUGCGUUUCAAACCACCAGGCUUGAGGAUGGCAGGGGUGAUGGGAACUGAUGGUGGAGCGGUGGAAUGCGCAGAUAUCAGGAGGAACACCGAUGGCGAAGGCAGGUCUCUGGGCCGCAACUGACGCUGAGGAGCGAAAGCAUGGGUAGCGAACAGGAUUAGAUACCCUGGUAGUCCAUGCCGUAAACGUUGGGCACUAGGUGUGGGGCUCAUUCCACGAGUUCCGUGCCGCAGCUAACGCAUUAAGUGCCCCGCCUGGGGAGUACGGCCGCAAGGCUAAAACUCAAAGGAAUUGACGGGGGCCCGCACAAGCGGCGGAGCAUGCGGAUUAAUUCGAUGCAACGCGAAGAACCUUACCAAGGCUUGACAUACACCGGAAACAUCCAGAGAUGGGUGCCCCGCAAGGUCGGUGUACAGGUGGUGCAUGGUUGUCGUCAGCUCGUGUCGUGAGAUGUUGGGUUAAGUCCCGCAACGAGCGCAACCCUCGUCCUAUGUUGCCAGCACGUAAUGGUGGGGACUCAUAGGAGACUGCCGGGGUCAACUCGGAGGAAGGUGGGGAUGACGUCAAAUCAUCAUGCCCCUUAUGUCUUGGGCUUCACGCAUGCUACAAUGGCCGGUACAAAGGGCUGCGAUACCGCGAGGUGGAGCGAAUCCCAAAAAGCCGGUCUCAGUUCGGAUUGAGGUCUGCAACUCGACCUCAUGAAGUCGGAGUCGCUAGUAAUCGCAGAUCAGCAACGCUGCGGUGAAUACGUUCCCGGGCCUUGUACACACCGCCCGUCAAGUCACGAAAGUUGGUAACACCCGAAGCCGGUGGCCUAACCCCUUGUGGGAGGGAGCCGUCGAAGGUGGGACUGGCGAUUGGGACU